AUAUAUAAUAACUCAAACGAAAUCGACCAUGAAACGUGAAAUCAACUUAGACAUAAUCUCUUCACUUAGAAUAUAAAUCAAGUUUUUUUAGCUGCUUAGAAAUAAACUUAGCAAGGCACAUAGUGGUGACUAUGGACUAUCAUCAUGUAGCUUGCUUUUAAAUCUUUCUGGAAUGGUGUUGUAGCUUGAUGUCCUUCUCCUUGUGGAGGAUAAAUUACUUGUAAAGGAGCACUUCCUAUACUACAUUGAUUUGUCUCAACUUUAAAUUACCUGCAGAAACAACAAUAUGGUAAGCAAAACAAUAAGUCAGUGGCUUGAUUUGUUCAGACAAAACAGUGAAGAAAUAGCCAAAUCAAGCAACAAACUAGCCAACUCAAAGCACAAAAACAGUGAAUAAAUACAAAUCAAGUAACAAAAAUAGCAUAUCUUGAAAUCCUAAAGCAAAAAACUUGCCAAAUCAAGAAAAAACAAACAACAAAUUAUGAAGGAGAAUGUGUGUGAAAGAGCAGAAGCAGCAUAGAAGGAGUGGACGGCAUAGACACAGUGAAGGAGAAGGUGUGGGAUGACAUGAUUGUGGUUCGAAGAAGGAGGAGGAGAAGCCUGCGAAGUGUGAGGUUUUUGUUUUUGUUAAGACACAUAUUACUUACAUUAGGCAGUAAGGAAACGAAUCUCCU
This 674-nucleotide long non-coding RNA is filed under the name Medicago truncatula (barrel medic). RNAcentral describes it as "long non-coding RNA (MTRU_LNC002888)". The record is from RNAcentral. Lineage: Eukaryota; Viridiplantae; Streptophyta; Magnoliopsida; Fabales; Fabaceae.